UACGGGGGGAGCAAGCGUUGUUCGGAUUUACUGGGCGUAAAGGGCGCGUAGGCGGCCAGCCCAGGUCAGGUGUGAAAUCUCCGGGCUUAACUCGGAAAGGUCAACUGAUACUGUGCGGCUAGAGUGCAGGAGAGGAACGCGGAAUUCCAGGUGUAGCGGUGAAAUGCGUAGAUAUCUGGAGGAACACCGGUGGCGAAGGCGGCGUUCUGGACUGUAACUGACACUGAUGAACGAAAGCCGGGGGAGCAAACGGG
RNAcentral lists this ribosomal RNA (254 nucleotides) under uncultured bacterium. RNAcentral's name for it is "partial 16S ribosomal RNA". It matches the Rfam family "Bacterial small subunit ribosomal RNA", at positions 524 to 776 of the family's 1533-position model. The record is from RNAcentral.